This 248-nucleotide ribosomal RNA is filed under the name uncultured bacterium. Its description in RNAcentral is "partial 16S ribosomal RNA". It matches the Rfam family "Bacterial small subunit ribosomal RNA", at positions 524 to 769 of the family's 1533-position model. The record is from RNAcentral.
UACGUAGGGGGGCUAGCGUUGUCCGGAUUUAUUGGGCGUAAAGAGCGUGUAGGCGGCUUGGCAAGUCUGCUGUGAAAAACUCGAGGCUCAACCUCGAGCUGUCGGUGGAAACUGCUUGGCUAGAGUCCGGAAGAGGAGAGUGGAAUUCCUGGUGUAGCGGUGAAAUGCGCAGAUAUCGGGAGGAACACCAGUGGCGAAGGCGGCGAUCUGGGAAGAUACUGACGCUGAGGAGCGAAAGCAUGGGGAGC